RNAcentral lists this ribosomal RNA (200 nucleotides) under uncultured bacterium. Its description in RNAcentral is "partial 16S ribosomal RNA". It matches the Rfam family "Bacterial small subunit ribosomal RNA", at positions 336 to 526 of the family's 1533-position model. The record is from RNAcentral.
UUCCUACGGGAGGCAGCAGUGGGGAAUAUUGCACAAUGGGCGCAAGCCUGAUGCAGCCAUGCCGCGUGUGUGAAGAAGGCCUUCGGGUUGUAAAGCACUUUCAGCGAGGAGGAAGGUGGUGAACUUAAUACGUUCAUCAAUUGACGUUACUCGCAGAAGAAGCACCGGCUAACUCCGUGCCAGCAGCCGCGGUAAUAAUC